This 443-nucleotide ribosomal RNA is filed under the name uncultured bacterium. RNAcentral's name for it is "partial 16S ribosomal RNA". It matches the Rfam family "Bacterial small subunit ribosomal RNA", at positions 338 to 795 of the family's 1533-position model. The record is from RNAcentral.
CCUAUGGGUGGCAGCAGUGGGGAAUAUUGGGCAAUGGAGGCAACUCUUACCCAGCAAUGCCGCGUGAAUGAAGAAGGUCUUCGGAUUGUAAAGUUCUUUAAUUGGGGACGAAAAAAAUGACGGUACCCAAGGAAUAAGCCCCGGCUAACUACGUGCCAGCAGCCGCGGUAAUACGUAGGUGGCAAGCGUUAUCCGGAUUUAUUGGGUGUAAAGGGCGUGUAGGCGGGAGCGCAAGUCAGAUGUGAAAACUCAGGGCUCAACCCUGAGCCUGCAUUUGAAACUGUGUUUCUUGAGUGCUGGAGAGGCAAUCGGAAUUCCGUGUGUAGCGGUGAAAUGCGUAGAUAUACGGAGGAACACCAGUGGCGAAGGCGGAUUGCUGGACAGUAACUGACGCUGAGGCGCGAAAGCGUGGGGAGCAAACAGGAUUAGAUACCCGGGUAGUC